Lycium barbarum (goji berry) is the source of this 2165-nucleotide long non-coding RNA. RefSeq lists it as uncharacterized. The record is from RefSeq and is a predicted model, not a curated record. Lineage: Eukaryota; Viridiplantae; Streptophyta; Magnoliopsida; Solanales; Solanaceae. The transcript is spliced from 2 exons.
AUGAACCAACCCCUUAAGGGAGGUGGAAGCACUCUAUUUAUAGUCAUGAGCCCAUGGGCCUCCUCCAAUGUGGGUUUAAUAAAAUAGUAAUAAAAGGGACAGCCUCUGCACGGAUUUGGUGGGAUUUGACUGACAGCGCCGUCUGACACACGCACAGUUGGCAGCUGACCAUGACGUGAUACCUCUGACGCAUCCUAGCAACGGUCGCCUCGGACCAACGGACUCACGGGGACCGGACCAACGGUGAUGAGACACCGGGGAGAGAUCCCGAACCCUCGGUGGCUUGGAGACCGGGUCAGAUGGCGCUUCUACUCGGCCUUGAUAAAAAUGCUCAUCCGGAAAGGCGAUGUCCCCGUACGAACUCUCGCCCCUUCUCUUUCUCCGAUCCAUAGCUACCCCGGAUCGAUCCGUAUUCGGUUUUCCACCGUAUACAAACAUGUUUCUCAUUAAUCUCAAAUUUCUCUAUAAGGGUGUCCUAGUAAUCGGGGUAUUGGGGUGCAGGGCUGCACCGUGUGUAAGGGUCCAUGCCAAGGCAACUAUUAGUAUGAUAGUAACAACCUUCUUUGCAAGAUCCAAAAGAGAAAGAAGAAGAAAUGGAGAUUACCCCCACUUGCGGAUAACAAUCUCAACUGCAAAUAUUUACUUUUUCUUGAAAGAAAAUGAUUGAGAGAGAGAAACUGUCCAUUGGGGUAGACAACCAGAAUCAGAGAAACUGGAGAAUGAGAACGCAAAGAAAGAGUCUUUUUCUUUUCUUUUCUUUUUUCUUUUUAAAUGUAUGCAUUCAAAAUAACAUGAAAGAUCUUAUUUGCCCCUCUGCAAUUUAACAGACGGUUAUUUUAUUUGAUGUCCGUUAGUUGAAGGACUAAAAUCACACGCAUUGUUUAAUUGAAGGUCGAAUGCGUUCAAUCGAAUAUCACAAAGACUAAAAUAGGAAUAAUACAAUAACAUAUGGACUAAAAAAGCUAUUUUCCUUGGAAGGUUGGCUAGAGAUUUCCUGUAAAAAUACUAGUCCUGCUGAGUUCAUAAUGAGAAUAUUUUUAUCGUUGAAUCUUUUUUUAUUCUAUGUAUUAUUCUCAUUAUACACAUAAAGGAGAAAUCGUAUGAGGGUGAAAAUUUCACGUACGGUUCUGCUUUUCUGUUCUUAUUUUUAAGGGUAUUUCAGACUUUCUAUGUCCCUAAAAAUUGAAGAGUCACCGCAUCAAUCUCUGCAUAUCUGGAAAUUUCUCCAUUCUUCUUUCUCUCUCGGUCAUACGAGCUGCCCUUAGCAUAAACCACAAUGAAGCUUCUGAAAACAAAGAGCAAGAAAUUCUGAUUCAGAUAGAGAAGAAAAAGAGUGAUGAAAUUUUCAGUGAAAAUCUAUGAUGUAACAAAGAGGAGAAGUGCAAAAGAGAUGGGGACGGAAGGAAAGAUUGAAAAAAAAAAAAAAUGGGUUUCCUUAUAAAAACUGAAGGUAUUUUCUCGAAGUCGGCAAAUUGAAAAAGAUGGGUUUGUCUGGAAGUUCUCUUAUAUAUAGUUGCAUAUGUGCAAUUUUCUUUCAAUUCCCCCCAUAUCUCUUAAAAUCAGGAGAAGUAAAAAUUAAUUUUAUCCUCCAUUUAUUUUGAUUUGCAAGAAAGAAUUACUCUUGCGUGUGGCAUCCGCAGCAAGCUCGAUACUCAUCCUACGUCAAAGUUUCAAUUUUGGGCAAGAACGGAUCAAGUCAAAGGUCGGAAACUUCUGUUGGAUUUUCUCAACUGUUUUUGUCGCUGAUAGCACACAAGAAAAACCAGCUAUAUAUUUCUCACGUUUGAUGUAGUUAGGGAAUUGGGAUGGAAGUGAGUAGCUCACAUGGGUUGCUCAUAUAUUGUAUACAAGACUUGAAGAUGAAGGAAGGAUAUGGGAUAAGUUUGGUCUUGAUUUUUGGUCGUGACUGGUUGUGGCUUAUAUUAGUUCUGUAGGUUAGUGAUUUGGAUCUUAAACAAAUGAAUUUGAACAUGGGAUGUGAAUACAUAUAUUGGUAUCUGGUGUUUGAUCUGAACCAAGUGGUGUUAUUCCUUCUCAAUAAGUAAUCAGUAUGAUUUCAUUUAAUUGGUCUAUGUUAUAGUGUUAUAUCCUUCGAUUGCUGUUAUUAUUUGUUAUUUUUUGUAGUUUAAUUAUCGUAUUAAUUGGUGGUAGUUACUGUUCCUUUU